GAGAGAGAGAGAGAGAGGGAGUACAUGUACAGCGUCCUGCCACAGAAUAUGGUUUGAGGAUCAUCAGCACCUCGCUUCCGUGUGUGUGUGUGUGUGUAUAUAUUGGUGUAAAACACCCGGGGCUCAGCCACUUGUAAUUGCACAGUAAAUGUAAUUGACCCACCCCAACAGCCACUUCAGAAGAAGAAGAAGAAGAAGAAGAAGAAACCCAAAUAGAAAGGCGAAGGUAAAGAUUAAUUUGCAGGGCAAUGGAUGUUGAGAAUUUAGAAAAGAAAACAAGCUAGAUAGAUCGACCCCUUUCCAGUUUCCAGGUACGUCGUUACUAUUGAUUCUGACGCAGUAACUGGGUGGGGCAGUAUGAAUUGCAGUACUGCAAUUGGGGGGACCGGCAAUCGAUCGCCAGAAAGAACGCGCGGGGACUAUUAUUCCCUUCCCUUUAAAUGUCUGUUUUGUGAUUCGUUCAGUGCGUGCGAGAGUUGUAAAUCUAUAUAUUACAGUCAUAAUUAAUUUAUGUAUUCUAUCUACAAAACCUUUUUCUUUUCUUUUAUUUUUUCCCUUUUUUUUGAGGAAGUUUUGUGCAUGCUACGCCUGAUAUAUGUUAAUGUUGAAUGUACGGUUAUUUGAGAAAUUGAAAUUUGAUCUUUGAAUGCAGGUCACCAAAAAAAAA
Ananas comosus (pineapple) is the source of this 667-nucleotide long non-coding RNA. RefSeq lists it as uncharacterized. Lineage: Eukaryota; Viridiplantae; Streptophyta; Magnoliopsida; Poales; Bromeliaceae. The record is from RefSeq and is a predicted model, not a curated record. The transcript is spliced from 2 exons.